Molecule: transfer RNA, 71 nt
Filed under: Loxodonta africana (African savanna elephant)
Lineage: Eukaryota; Metazoa; Chordata; Mammalia; Proboscidea; Elephantidae
Rfam family: tRNA
About the family: Transfer RNA (tRNA) molecules are approximately 80 nucleotides in length.
Source: Rfam by way of RNAcentral
GCAUUGGUGGCUCAGCGGUAGAAUUCUUGUCUUCCAUGCAGGAGACUCAGCUUCCGUUCCUGAUCAAUGUA